UGGGGAAUAUUGGACAAUGGGCGCAAGCCUGAUCCAGCGACGCCGCGUGUGUGAAGAAGGCCUGCGGGUUGUAAAGCACUUUCGAUGGGAACGAAAUGUGCCGGGUUAAUACCCCGGUAAGCUGACGUUACUCAAUGAAGAAGCACCGGCUAACUCUGUGCCAGCAGCCGCGGUAAUACAGAGGGUGCAAGCGUUAAUCGGAAUGACUGGGCGUAAAGGGCGCGUAGGUGGAUACGUAAGUAAAUUGUGAAAGACCCGGGCUUAACCUGGGAAGGUCAAUUUAAACGGCGUGUCUGGAGUGGAGUAGAGGGAAGUAGAAUUUCCGGUGUAGCGGUGAAAUGCGUAGAUAUCGGAAGGAAUACCGGUGGCGAAGGCGUCUUCCUGGACUCUAACUGACACUGAGGCGCGAAAGCAUGGGGAUCAAACAGGAUUAGAUACCCACGUAGUCCCUGAGCGGGCUGGCAAGGCGCAU
RNAcentral lists this ribosomal RNA (472 nucleotides) under uncultured bacterium. Its description in RNAcentral is "bacterial SSU rRNA". It matches the Rfam family "Bacterial small subunit ribosomal RNA", at positions 355 to 825 of the family's 1533-position model. The record is from RNAcentral.